Massariosphaeria phaeospora is the source of this 89-nucleotide non-coding RNA. The record is from the annotation of a GenBank genome assembly. Lineage: Eukaryota; Fungi; Ascomycota; Dothideomycetes; Pleosporales.
GGUCGAUUAGCUCAGUUGGUUAGAGCGUGGUGCUAAUAGAUCUUUAUCAUGUCACGCCAAGGCCGAGGGUUCGACCCCCUCAUUGACCA